This 110-nucleotide small nuclear RNA is filed under the name Castor canadensis (American beaver). The record is from RNAcentral. Lineage: Eukaryota; Metazoa; Chordata; Mammalia; Rodentia; Castoridae.
AUGUUCGCUUCGGCAGCACAUAUACUAAUGUUGGAACAAUACAGAAGAGAAGAUUAGCAUGGUCCCUGUGCAAGAAUGACAUGCAAAUUCGUGAAGAGUUCCAUAUAUUA